CGAGGGCGGAGGUGGUGAGCGCGGUUGGAACGAGAGCUGGCCGCCGGCGGUUUUGAUGCCGGAGCGUGUUGUUGGCGCGGCACCGCUGCACAGGGAUCUCAGUGGCGUGGUGAACCCUCACGAGUGCCUUGAGGGAGCCGUGGGAUAGAAGGGCGAAGGCCUGAGGGUAGAAAAUACCAGUGACAUCAGAAGCCCAGUGUCUUAGUAUAACAGAAAGUUGGAUCUGUUGCACUUUUAGACAGAAUUAUCCGGAGGAUGUGACAAUGACAGAAAAAAAAUGUGCUUUGCUAUCUUUAAAACUGAUUUGCUCAGCAAUGCUGGAGUAUUAUGGACUUGGAAUAUGGAA
RNAcentral lists this long non-coding RNA (346 nucleotides) under Gallus gallus (chicken). RNAcentral describes it as "long non-coding RNA NONGGAT004010". The record is from RNAcentral. Lineage: Eukaryota; Metazoa; Chordata; Aves; Galliformes; Phasianidae.